RNAcentral lists this long non-coding RNA (713 nucleotides) under Nicotiana benthamiana. RNAcentral describes it as "long non-coding RNA (NBEN_LNC042605)". Lineage: Eukaryota; Viridiplantae; Streptophyta; Magnoliopsida; Solanales; Solanaceae. The record is from RNAcentral.
AGCUCUUUAUGACCCUGUCGAUUUUAACCAUUGUAUUUUUUAAAAAUCAAACCCAAACCCUAUUCCAUUUUAACUUAACUUUUAAAUGCCAUAAUCUCUAUAGUUAACCAAAUAAAAGCAGUAAAUUAAUAUGCAUAAGAAAUAUGAAGCAAAGCUAAUAAAUGAACAAGAAGAACAUUCCAAAUUAUAGUGAGGCAUCAUAUGAAUCAAUCUCAAAAAGAAAAAAAAAAGAUAAAGAAAUGAACCUCUUUUAGAACUAAUCUUUUCAAUAAUAUUAGAACUCCCACCAAAUCUUUACAAUUCAAGAAAUGGCAAGUCGAAACUACGACAAAUCAGCAAGUACACGGCUUUGACUCCAAAACUCGAAUGAGAAAACAGCGACGAUAAUCGAACAAGACUCGCGAACUCGAACCGAAAAACUCGAACGGCUAUCUACUACAAUAAUGAUUUUGAAACACCCUCGGCUCAAUCAAAUGCCAUGUUUGAAACCCAAAUCUAAUAAGAAGAAGAAGCUCAAAUAUGUUGGUACUUUCUGUUAAAGUUGGAACACCAACUAUCUUAAUAAGAGAGAUAACAUUUUUAUGCGUUUCUAUUUUUAUGAAAUUUCAAAAGGAGUGUAGGAAUCAAAGAAGAAGAUCCAAAAAUUCCUAAGACUCUCCUCCUUUUUUCUAUUUUCCUAUCAAUGUCUCGUAUUUUUUCUUCUUAUGUCCCUC